GGGCGUCACCGGGGGUGCCCUCUUAUGGGGCUGAGAGAUACCCUUGGAACCUGAUCCGGGUAAUGCCGGCGUAGGGAAGGUGACCAAGGCCCCUC
Molecule: non-coding RNA, 95 nt
Filed under: Thermus scotoductus
Lineage: Bacteria; Thermotogati; Deinococcota; Deinococci; Thermales; Thermaceae
Description: TPP sequence
Rfam family: TPP riboswitch aptamer (THI element)
About the family: Vitamin B(1) in its active form thiamin pyrophosphate (TPP) is an essential coenzyme that is synthesised by coupling of pyrimidine and thiazole moieties in bacteria. The previously detected thiamin-regulatory element, thi box was extended, resulting in a new, highly conserved RNA secondary structure, the THI element, which is widely distributed in eubacteria and also occurs in some archaea.
Source: RNAcentral